UACGUAGGGUGCGAGCGUUGUCCGGAAUUAUUGGGCGUAAAGGGCUCGUAGGCGGUUUGUCGCGUCGGGAGUGAAAACACCGGGCUUAACUCGGUGCUUGCUUUCGAUACGGGCAGACUAGAGGUAUGCAGGGGAGAACGGAAUUCCUGGUGUAGCGGUAAAAUGCGCAGAUAUCAGGAGGAACACCGGUGGCGAAGGCGGUUCUCUGGGCAUUACCUGACGCUGAGGAGCGAAAGUGUGGGGAGCGAACAGG
Molecule: ribosomal RNA, 253 nt
Filed under: uncultured bacterium
Lineage: Bacteria
Description: partial 16S ribosomal RNA
Rfam family: Bacterial small subunit ribosomal RNA
Source: RNAcentral